AAUCUCCGAGGAGAAAAGCAGGGGAUCGCAAGACCUUGCGCUUUUGGAGCGGCCGAUGUCUGAUUAGCUAGUUGGUGAGGUAAAGGCUUACCAAGGCGUCGAUCAGUAGCUGGUCUGAGAGGACGACCAGCCACACUGGGACUGAGACACGGCCCAGACUCCUACGGGAGGCAGCAGUGGGGAAUUUUGGACAAUGGGGGAAACCCUGAUCCAGCCAUGCCGCGUGAGUGAAGAAGGCCUUCGGGUUGUAAAGCUCUUUCAGCCGGAACGAAACGGUCACGGUUAAUACCCGUGACUACUGACGGUACCGGAAGAAGAAG
RNAcentral lists this ribosomal RNA (320 nucleotides) under Nitrosospira sp. Its description in RNAcentral is "bacterial SSU rRNA". It matches the Rfam family "Bacterial small subunit ribosomal RNA", at positions 189 to 490 of the family's 1533-position model. The record is from RNAcentral. Lineage: Bacteria; Pseudomonadati; Pseudomonadota; Betaproteobacteria; Nitrosomonadales; Nitrosomonadaceae.